AGUAACGGCGAGUGAAGCGGCAACAGCUCAAAUUUGAAAUCUGGCUCUUUUAGAGUCCGAGUUGUAAUUUGCAGAGGGCGCUUUGGCUUUGGCAGCGGUCCAAGUUCCUUGGAACAGGACGUCACAGAGGGUGAGAAUCCCGUACGUGGUCGCUAGCUAUUGCCGUGUAAAGCCCCUUCGACGAGUCGAGUUGUUUGGGAAUGCAGCUCUAAAUGGGAGGUAAAUUUCUUCUAAAGCUAAAUAUUGGCCAGAGACCGAUAGCGCACAAGUAGAGUGAUCGAAAGAUGAAAAGCACUUUGGAAAGAGAGUCAAACAGCACGUGAAAUUGUUGAAAGGGAAGCGCUUGCAGCCAGACUUGCUUGCAGUUGCUCAUCCGGGCUUUUGCCCGGUGCACUCUUCUGUAGGCAGGCCAGCAUCAGUUUGGGCGGUGGGAUAAAGGUCUCUGUCACGUACCUCUCUUCGGGGAGGCCUUAUAGGGGAGACGACAUACCACCAGCCUAGACUGAGGUCCGCGCAUCUGCUAGGAUGCUGGCGUAAUGGCUGUAAGCGGCCCGUCUUGAAACACGGACCAAGGAGUCUAACAUCUAUGCGAGUGUUUGGGUGUCAAGCCCGAGCGCGUAAUGAAAGUGAACGGAGGUGGGAACCCGCAAGGGUGCACCAUCGACCGAUCCUGAAGUUUACGGAAGGAUUUGAGUAAGAGCAUGGCUGUUGGGACCCGAAAGAUGGUGAACUAUGCUUGAAUAGGGUGAAGCCAGAGGAAACUCUGGUGGAGGCUCGCAGCGGUUCUGACGUGCAAAUCGAUCGUCAAA
Molecule: ribosomal RNA, 809 nt
Filed under: Bipolaris chloridis
Lineage: Eukaryota; Fungi; Ascomycota; Dothideomycetes; Pleosporales; Pleosporaceae
Description: LSU rRNA
Rfam family: Eukaryotic large subunit ribosomal RNA
Source: RNAcentral